UUUUAUGGAGAGUUUGAUCCUGGCUCAGGAUGAACGCUGGCGGCGUGCCUAAUACAUGCAAGUCGAGCGAACGGACGAGAAGCUUGCUUCUCUGAUGUUAGCGGCGGACGGGUGAGUAACACGUGGAUAACCUACCUAUAAGACUGGGAUAACUUCGGGAAACCGGAGCUAAUACCGGAUAAUAUUUUGAACCGCAUGGUUCAAAAGUGAAAGACGGUCUUGCUGUCACUUAUAGAUGGAUCCGCGCUGCAUUAGCUAGUUGGUAAGGUAACGGCUUACCAAGGCAACGAUGCAUAGCCGACCUGAGAGGGUGAUCGGCCACACUGGAACUGAGACACGGUCCAGACUCCUACGGGAGGCAGCAGUAGGGAAUCUUCCGCAAUGGGCGAAAGCCUGACGGAGCAACGCCGCGUGAGUGAUGAAGGUCUUCGGAUCGUAAAACUCUGUUAUUAGGGAAGAACAUAUGUGUAAGUAACUGUGCACAUCUUGACGGUACCUAAUCAGAAAGCCACGGCUAACUACGUGCCAGCAGCCGCGGUAAUACGUAGGUGGCAAGCGUUAUCCGGAAUUAUUGGGCGUAAAGCGCGCGUAGGCGGUUUUUUAAGUCUGAUGUGAAAGCCCACGGCUCAACCGUGGAGGGUCAUUGGAAACUGGAAAACUUGAGUGCAGAAGAGGAAAGUGGAAUUCCAUGUGUAGCGGUGAAAUGCGCAGAGAUAUGGAGGAACACCAGUGGCGAAGGCGACUUUCUGGUCUGUAACUGACGCUGAUGUGCGAAAGCGUGGGGAUCAAACAGGAUUAGAUACCCUGGUAGUCCACGCCGUAAACGAUGAGUGCUAAGUGUUAGGGGGUUUCCGCCCCUUAGUGCUGCAGCUAACGCAUUAAGCACUCCGCCUGGGGAGUACGACCGCAAGGUUGAAACUCAAAGGAAUUGACGGGGACCCGCACAAGCGGUGGAGCAUGUGGUUUAAUUCGAAGCAACGCGAAGAACCUUACCAAAUCUUGACAUCCUUUGACAACUCUAGAGAUAGAGCCUUCCCCUUCGGGGGACAAAGUGACAGGUGGUGCAUGGUUGUCGUCAGCUCGUGUCGUGAGAUGUUGGGUUAAGUCCCGCAACGAGCGCAACCCUUAAGCUUAGUUGCCAUCAUUAAGUUGGGCACUCUAAGUUGACUGCCGGUGACAAACCGGAGGAAGGUGGGGAUGACGUCAAAUCAUCAUGCCCCUUAUGAUUUGGGCUACACACGUGCUACAAUGGACAAUACAAAGGGCAGCGAAACCGCGAGGUCAAGCAAAUCCCAUAAAGUUGUUCUCAGUUCGGAUUGUAGUCUGCAACUCGACUACAUGAAGCUGGAAUCGCUAGUAAUCGUAGAUCAGCAUGCUACGGUGAAUACGUUCCCGGGUCUUGUACACACCGCCCGUCACACCACGAGAGUUUGUAACACCCGAAGCCGGUGGAGUAACCUUUUAGGAGCUAGCCGUCGAAGGUGGGACAAAUGAUUGGGGUGAAGUCGUAACAAGGUAGCCGUAUCGGAAGGUGCGGCUGGAUCACCUCCUUUCUAAGGAUA
RNAcentral lists this ribosomal RNA (1562 nucleotides) under Staphylococcus aureus subsp. aureus PSP1996. RNAcentral describes it as "16S ribosomal RNA". It matches the Rfam family "Bacterial small subunit ribosomal RNA". Lineage: Bacteria; Bacillati; Bacillota; Bacilli; Caryophanales; Staphylococcaceae. The record is from RNAcentral.